Arachis ipaensis is the source of this 4409-nucleotide non-coding RNA. Lineage: Eukaryota; Viridiplantae; Streptophyta; Magnoliopsida; Fabales; Fabaceae. The record is from RefSeq and is a predicted model, not a curated record.
UCAAAACACUUUCUCCUUCCAAGAACCCUAAACUCUUCUGUGCUUCAUUGUGUCCUUCUCAUGCCUCACCCUAAACACUAACACAUAUUCUGGCGAUUAACCUUUACAAAUAGCAAAACAGAAAGAACAUCGUCGGUGCUCGCCCUCCGAACGAAUAUCAAAAUCCCAGCACUCUGAAGAACAUCGCCGGCGCUCGCCCUCUCUCCUUUGUCGCAAUGCCUCCGUCGGCACUCCUUCUUCCGGCGCUCUCACCAUCGCUGCUCCCACCGUAAACCUUUAACCCUCCUUCAGCGGUGACUCCCUCGGCGCUCACUGUCCCUUACAAUGCCUCCGUCGGCACUCCUUCUUCCGGCGCUCUCACCGUCGCUGCUCCCACCGUAAACCUUUAAUCCUCCUUCAGCGGUGACUCCUUCAGCGCUCACUGUCCCUUGCAAACCCUCUGUUGAUGCUCCUUCUGCCGCCGCUCUCUUCUGUCACUGCAAACCCCUAACCCCUGUGGAGCAUUGGAGAAGGUUUGUUGUUUAGGCUCACCCCCUUCCGUCGUUGCAAAGAACCCCUUCCUCGUGCAGGGCGGUGUCCAUUGUGACCCUUGUCGUGCUAGUUUUGAGACCUCUGCCACCACUUACAUUGCUGGUACAUAAUACAUCUACUAUAUUAUCUCUUAUUCUUGCUGAGUUUGGCCGGUGUAUAGCUCAUUCGUCGAUGAAUGUCUUCAAGUUUCUCGUCGGGAUGAGUUAUACGUCGGCAAGGAGAGAACAAGGGGUGGGUACCUGCAAAAGACACUCCGACGCUCAAGUCAGUAAGUGUUUAAGAGGUAUAUGAAUAAUUCUAUGAAUAUAGAAUGUAAGACAUAAAAUAGAAGUUAUCAUGUGUUGUAUAUUAUAAUAUUCUAUGAAUAUAGAAUGUAUCUAGAAUAUAUCUAGAAUGUAUCUAGAAUGUCCCUAGAAUGUAUAGUGUAUAUAGAGAUUGGUGCCUUUUAUAGGCAUAGAGUUGAUGAAUAGAAUUGAUGGUAUGACCGUUGAUCAUUAAGUCAGAAUAUUGAUCAUUAAGUUGGUAAUGAAGGUGUCAGUUACAGAAUAAAUGAUAAUUAAGGCUGAGUUAUAACUCAUAAUGCACAAUAAAGACCGAGUUAUAAGGUGACGGAUCAUCUCUAAUGCAUGCUUUCCUUUAUAUUGCUUAACAAGUUUUGAUAGAUUUCAUGAAAGUUUUUUCAUUCAAAUUUUGAAUCGUCAGAUCAUCCUCUUUUCAUCAUUUUGUUAUAUAUUACCAAACCUUCUCUGUUGCACUUCAUUAGCUAGUAGUUAUCUUCUCAUGCUAUUAUUACUGAACAUAAAUUUAAUUUAAUUUCUUUGUAACCACUUGCUAGGCUAGGCUGCUAAUUAAUGAUUUAUAGUUGUAAAUUAAGUGAAAAAAUGCCAUUUUUCUUUUUGAAGCAAUGAUAUUAUAAUUUUCUAUAAUUAUAUUAUAAUUUGCUGCUGAUUUGCCGUCGAUUUGGCCAUUGAUUUAAACAGUAUUUCAUGUAGUGGCUUAUCCAUGAGCAUGUCACAAAUUAUCAAUAUAAAAUGUGGAAUUCCUUUGUUGCCUUGAUGCUGUUAUGGUACUAAUUAUCUGCUAUCGAAUCACUAUUCGCUGCUGAUUCUACCUCUUAUUUUGCUUCUAUUUCACUGUUGCUGUGGUACUUAAUUAAUCUGCUGCUGGAUUGCUGAGUAUAGUUUAGUUUUUUAGAUAAAAAAAACAAAUAAUAUGGGAUAUGUGUAAGAAUUACUUAGAUAGAAAGAAAAAAAAGGUGUAGAGCAUAUUCCUUCAAUGGUGUAUUUGAAGCUUCCAUACAUGAUGUGGAUGUCAUAUCAAUUUCCAUUGGUGGAGGUGAUCCUAGCUGUGGUUGAUGUUAUAUCCAUUGGCGCAUUUUUCGCCAUUAGUAAAGGGAUACUCACAGUGGCCUCAGCUAGAAAUGAUGGCCUGGAUAUGACCAUCGUGACGAAUACUGCGCCGUGGAUUGUUACAGUUGCAGCUGGUGGCAUUGACAGAGCUUUCAGGAGCACUGUGAUUUGAGGGAGUGGAAAAAAUGUUUCUGUAAGUUGGUUUCUUAUGCCUUUUACAUAUUUUUUCGGGGGAGGAGCACUUGGGUUAUUAAUCAACUUCUAAUUUCAUAACCAAGGUUACUUACACAACUAUGAUGAAUUUGAAUGUAAGAGUACACAAUCAAUUAGAAAUAAUACUAUGAGUAACCUUUAUAUAUAUAUAAUUUUCUGAUCACUAUUUUUAGAAUAUUUUUAUUUAGUUUUUUUAAAUUUUAAUUUGGCUUAGAUGUUGCACAUAACUUGUGGCAUGUAUGCAACUUAUAGCAUUACAGAAUGGUUCACCUAAGUGCACCUUUAGUUUGAUCAGGGUUUAGUUAAAUGAAAGACUAAAUAAUGUACUAUGUGAAUAUUUAUUGUUUUACAAAACCAAUUUGUAUGUUCAUAUGGUAAAUAAUAAACAAUAUGGCAUGCAUUCUGUUAUUGAUCAUGUGUGAAAACCCCAAUCAUGGAGGCUAUGCAGGGAAUAGGAGUGAGUAGUUUUAACCCAAAACAAAAAUAGUAUCCUCUCAUCAAUGGCGUCGACGCUGCUCGGAACUCUAAAGCCAAGGAAAAUGCUAGGUAGCUUUUGCGUUUGAUUUUGUUCUUGCCAAUUAUGUUUGUUCAAUAAUGAUGACAAAGAUUUUAGUUAAUGCAUUGAUCUAAGUACUGCUUUGGAGGAUCCUUAGAUCCAAAUAAGGUGAAGGAAAAGCUUGUUUACUGCAAAUUAGGAACAUAUGGCACUAAUGCAAUUGUGAAAGAAUUUGGAGGCAUUGGUGCCAUAAUUGAAAGACAAAGAUAUGUUGAUGUUGCUCAAGUUUUCAUAGCUCUUACUACCAUUGUGAAUAUGAGCUUAGGUGAUACUAUCACUAGUUAUAUACAUUCCACAAGGUAUAAAAUAAACCAUGUUUAACUUUUUAAUGACCACUCUUUAACUCUUGAAUGAUAUUACAUGCAACAAGUCCUGAUUUCUAAAGUAUGACAAUAUAAUCUCUUCACACCCAUGUAUUUUGGGCAAAUUUUUUAACAUACAGGGAUUACUAAAAAGAGGGUAUAUUUAAGAGAGAUAUUGUGUAGUAUUUAUUCAUAAAAAAUGAUAAAUAUUAUGUAUUGGAGAAUACAGCGUGAUUUUCAAUAUAUGUUCUUUCAUUUUUUGGUAAAAUAUAAGAUGUACCAACAUAAAAAUAUUUAAAAUUAUGCAGGGUAGUGGUGAAAACAAUGGAGUUCACAAUCAAUAAUCAUGAAGUUUCAUAUUUAGUGAUGAAGUAUGUAAAGGAAGUAGAUAUAUAAUAGUCGUUGGAGUUGUAAUUCAUGUAUUAAGAAAACAUAGGUAGUUAUGACUUUAAUUUUUGGUAUUUUGUUAGACUAUCAUGCGAUCAAACAUACUUUUUUUAGUGAUAGGUUUAUGUAUGUUAGACUAGUUGAUUUAAAAUUAUUGGUCAUUGUCUAAAUUUUAAAAUUAUCUAUGAAUUUUGUAAGGUUUUAUUAUGAAAAUUAAAAAAGAACAAUAGGUUAUUGAAAAUUUUUUUUGCCACAUUUUAAAAGAGUGGUCAUAUUAUAUAGUAGUCAUCAACAGCCACGCUUUAAAAGCGUAGCCAUACCACACUAUUGUCACGCUUUAAAAGUAUAGUCAUAUCUUCCACUAUUGGCAUGUUUCAAAAGAGUAGCCAUAUUUUCACUAUUGGUAGACUUCAAAAGGCGUAGCCAUAUCUUCCACUAUUAGCGGGCUUCAAAAGCAUAGCCAUAUCUUUCACAUACUGCCACGUUUUUAAGCGUGGCAAUAGAUGAAAGCAUGUCAAUAGAUCGACAAAAGCGUGGUGAUAGCUCAAAAAGUGUGGCAAAAAGCUAUCGCUACGCUUUUUUUAACUUUUCAUCACGCUUUAAAAGCGUAGCAAAAUCGAUAAUUCUUUUAGUUGGCUAUCAUAUCACCCUUAGGUCACCUCUUGUGGAUGAUGAAAUCAUUAACCUUAAGGUUGAUGAUGACAUUCAUCCACUAGAAGAAGAGGACGACAAAGAAGAAGGGGUUGGUGGGGACGACAAAGAAGAUGAGAAAAUUGAUGAUCAAAAAGUAACAUCUGAAGAGGAUGAUGAACAAGGGGUUGAUGAGGACGAAGAAGAAGAAGAGGAAUUCAAAUGAAGAUAGACAUAUUCAACAGAGAUAGUGCCAGGAGUCACAUCAGAACCAUUAGAAAGACGACGAUGACGAUUAUGAGGACUCGUAGAAUUUAGUAUUUUCUUUUGUACAAUUUUGUUUUUGACGAAAUUGCUUUAUGUUUGUAGCGUCAUGGUCCAGAUUAUACUGUAGUUUUUGUUUAUUUUAAUGACAUCUGAAUUUCAUUGAUUUUUAUUUAA